Molecule: ribosomal RNA, 159 nt
Filed under: Octopus vulgaris (common octopus)
Lineage: Eukaryota; Metazoa; Mollusca; Cephalopoda; Octopoda; Octopodidae
Also listed under: 1 other name
Description: 5.8S ribosomal RNA
Rfam family: 5.8S ribosomal RNA
About the family: 5.8S ribosomal RNA (5.8S rRNA) is a component of the large subunit of the eukaryotic ribosome.
Source: Rfam by way of RNAcentral
AGAGAUGGACGGGGGAUCACUCGGCUCGUCCGUCGAUGAAGAGCGCGGCUAUCCGCGUGAACUGAUGCGAAUUGCAGGACUCAGUGAACAUCGACACCUCGAACGCACAUUGCGGCCCCGGGAUCCUAUCGCCCCGGGGCCCCGUCCGGUCGAGAUUUU